Molecule: ribosomal RNA, 1402 nt
Filed under: uncultured bacterium
Lineage: Bacteria
Description: bacterial SSU rRNA
Rfam family: Bacterial small subunit ribosomal RNA
Source: RNAcentral
CGCUGAAGAGAGGAGCUUGCUCUUCUUGGAUGAGUUGCGAACGGGUGAGUAACGCGUAGGUAACCUGCCUUGUAGCGGGGGAUAACUAUUGGAAACGAUAGCUAAUACCGCAUAACAAUGGAUGACACAUGUCAUUUAUUUGAAAGGGGCAAUUGUUCCACUACAAGAUGGACCUGCGUUGUAUUAGCUAGUAGGUGAGGUAAUGGCUCACCUAGGCGACGAUACAUAGCCGACCUGAGAGGGUGAUCGGCCACACUGGGACUGAGACACGGCCCAGACUCCUACAGGAGGCAGCAGUAGGGAAUCUUCGGCAAUGGGGGCAACCCUGACCGAGCAACGCCGCGUGAGUGAAGAAGGUUUUCGGAUCGUAAAGCUCUGUUGUAAGUCAAGAACGGGUGUGAGAGUGGAAAGUUCACACUGUGACGGUAGCUUACCAGAAAGGGACGGCUAACUACGUGCCAGCAGCCGCGGUAAUACGUAGGUCCCGAGCGUUGUCCGGAUUUAUUGGGCGUAAAGCGAGCGCAGGCGGUUUGAUAAGUCUGAAGUUAAAGGCUGUGGCUCAACCAUAGUUCGCUUUGGAAACUGUCAAACUUGAGUGCAGAAGGGGAGAGUGGAAUUCCAUGUGUAGCGGUGAAAUGCGUAGAUAUAUGGAGGAACACCGGUGGCGAAAGCGGCUCUCUGGUCUGUAACUGACGCUGAGGCUCGAAAGCGUGGGGAGCGAACAGGAUUAGAUACCCUGGUAGUCCACGCCGUAAACGAUGAGUGCUAGGUGUUGGAUCCUUUCCGGGAUUCAGUGCCGCAGCUAACGCAUUAAGCACUCCGCCUGGGGAGUACGACCGCAAGGUUGAAACUCAAAGGAAUUGACAGGGGCCCGCACAAGCGGUGGAGCAUGUGGUUUAAUUCGAAGCAACGCGAAGAACCUUACCAGGUCUUGACAUCCCGAUGCUAUUUCUAGAGAUAGAAAGUUACUUCGGUACAUCGGUGACAGGUGGUGCAUGGUUGUCGUCAGCUCGUGUCGUGAGAUGUUGGGUUAAGUCCCGCAACGAGCGCAACCCCUAUUGUUAGUUGCCAUCAUUCAGUUGGGCACUCUAGCGAGACUGCCGGUAAUAAACCGGAGGAAGGUGGGGAUGACGUCAAAUCAUCAUGCCCCUUAUGACCUGGGCUACACACGUGCUACAAUGGUUGGUACAACGAGUUGCGAGUCGGUGACGGCGAGCUAAUCUCUUAAAGCCAAUCUCAGUUCGGAUUGUAGGCUGCAACUCGCCUACAUGAAGUCGGAAUCGCUAGUAAUCGCGGAUCAGCACGCCGCGGUGAAUACGUUCCCGGGCCCUGUACACACCGCCCGUCACACCACGAGAGUUUGCAACACCCGAAGUCGGUGAGGUAACCUUUGGAGCCAGCC